GGUGGGGGUGGGGUCCUUCAGCCUGGAUUGUGAGAGGGUGCAGGCCAGGCCAAGGGACCCCACCAGUGAACG
RNAcentral lists this microRNA precursor (72 nucleotides) under Myotis davidii. RNAcentral's name for it is "mir-9193 microRNA precursor family". It matches the Rfam family "mir-9193 microRNA precursor family". The record is from Rfam by way of RNAcentral. Lineage: Eukaryota; Metazoa; Chordata; Mammalia; Chiroptera; Vespertilionidae.